Molecule: ribosomal RNA, 407 nt
Filed under: uncultured Quadrisphaera sp.
Lineage: Bacteria; Bacillati; Actinomycetota; Actinomycetes; Kineosporiales; Kineosporiaceae
Description: bacterial SSU rRNA
Rfam family: Bacterial small subunit ribosomal RNA
Source: RNAcentral
UGGGGAAUAUUGCACAAUGGGCGCAAGCCUGAUGCAGCGACGCCGCGUGAGGGAUGAAGGCCUUCGGGUUGUAAACCUCUUUCAGCAGGGAAGAAGCGCAAGUGACGGUACCUGCAGAAGAAGCACCGGCUAACUACGUGCCAGCAGCCGCGGUAAUACGUAGGGUGCAAGCGUUGUCCGGAAUUAUUGGGCGUAAAGAGCUCGUAGGCGGUCUGUCGCGUCUGCUGUGAAAACUCGGGGCUUAACCCCGGGCCUGCAGUGGGUACGGGCAGACUAGAGUGCGGUAGGGGAGACUGGAAUUCCUGGUGUAGCGGUGAAAUGCGCAGAUAUCAGGAGGAACACCGGUGGCGAAGGCGGGUCUCUGGGCCGUAACUGACGCUGAGGAGCGAAAGCGUGGGUAGCGAACA